Molecule: long non-coding RNA, 576 nt
Filed under: Homo sapiens (human)
Lineage: Eukaryota; Metazoa; Chordata; Mammalia; Primates; Hominidae
Description: non-protein coding lnc-CLN6-3:2
Source: RNAcentral
UUUCCACUCAACAAGCCCAGUGUUGGGGACUACUUCCACAUGGCCUACAACGUCAUCACGCCCUUUCUCUUGCUCAAGCUCAUCGAGCGGUCCCCCCGCACCCUGCCACGCUCCAUCACGUACGUGAGCAUCAUCAUCUUCAUCAUGGGUGCCAGCAUCCACCUGGUGGGUGACUCUGUCAACCACCGCCUGCUCUUCAGUGGCUACCAGCACCACCUGUCUGUCCGUGAGAACCCCAUCAUCAAGAAUCUCAAGCCGGAGACGCUGGUGAGGCCACCUCCUGCUCCCUGCCUGUAAGCCCUAGGAGCACAGUCUGUCCUGGGAGGCUGAAGAAAUGGCCCCCACCCCUCGCCGCACCUGUCCUUUCACCAAAGGCAUUCUGCUAGAUCGACUCCUUUGAGCUGCUCUACUAUUAUGAUGAGUACCUGGGUCACUGCAUGUGGUACAUCCCCUUCUUCCUCAUCCUCUUCAUGUACUUCAGCGGCUGCUUUACUGCCUCUAAAGCUGAGAGCUUGAUUCCAGGGCCUGCCCUGCUCCUGGUGGCACCCAGUGGCCUGUACUACUGGUGAGUGGACA